GUGGGGAAUUUUGGACAAUGGGCGCAAGCCUGAUCCAGCAAUGCCGCGUGCAGGAAGAAGGCCUUCGGGUUGUAAACUGCUUUUGUACGGAACGAAACGGUCCUGGUUAAUACCUGGGGCUAAUGACGGUACCGUAAGAAUAAGCACCGGCUAACUUCGUGCCAGCAGCCGCGGUAAUACGAAGGGUGCAAGCGUUAAUCGGAAUUACUGGGCGUAAAGCGCGCGUAGGUGGUUUUGUAAGUUGGAGGUGAAAUCCCCGGGCUCAACCUGGGAAUUGCGCUUGUGACUGCAAGGCUGGAGUGCGGCAGAGGGGGAUGGAAUUCCGCGUGUAGCAGUGAAAUGCGUAGAUAUGCGGAGGAACACCGAUGGCGAAGGCAAUCCCCUGGGCCUGCACUGACGCUCAUGCACGAAAGCGUGGGGAGCAAACAGGAUUAGAAACCCGGGUAGUCC
This 450-nucleotide ribosomal RNA is filed under the name uncultured bacterium. RNAcentral describes it as "partial 16S ribosomal RNA". It matches the Rfam family "Bacterial small subunit ribosomal RNA", at positions 354 to 796 of the family's 1533-position model. The record is from RNAcentral.